Molecule: long non-coding RNA, 319 nt
Filed under: Pelobates cultripes (western spadefoot toad)
Lineage: Eukaryota; Metazoa; Chordata; Amphibia; Anura; Pelobatidae
Source: RNAcentral
GAACACAGAAAGGGACACAGCGAUGAGGAAAGCCAGGAGUCAGGAUACCAGAAUAUAGAGAAGUCAAUAAACAAAGCCAAAGUCAAAAACCAGGUAGAAAACUAUAAACAGGAACGCGCUCUCAGACAACCACAAGGGAAACCACGACAGGGCACUGAGCAGGCUGAGAACUGGGCCUAAAUACCCCUCCUUUAGUUCUGAUAGGCUGUAACCGGCCUUUGACCCCAAAGUCAGUUACCAGGUUUCAUUUGCAUAAUUGCUGCUCAGCAUUAACCCUUCUGGGGAUUAGGUUGCUGCUCGGCACAACUUUUCCUGUGUG